UAUGUUCUCCAGAUUCAUCCAUGUCCCUACAAACGACACAAACUCAUCAUUUCUGAUUGCUGCAUAAUAUUCCAUGGUGUAUAUGUGCCACAUUUUCCCAAUCCAGUCUAUCAUCGAUGGGCAUUUGGGUUGAUUCCAGGUCUUUGCUAUUGUAAACAGUGCUGCAAUGAACAUUCGUGUGCAUGUGUCCUUAUAGUUGAACGAUUUAUAGUCCUUUGGAUAUAUACCCAGUAAUGGGAUUGCUGGGUCAAAUGGAAUUUCUAUUUCUAAGGCCUUGAGGAAUUGCCACACUGUCUUCCACAAUGGUUGAACUAAUUUACACUCCCACCAACAGUGUAAAAGUGUUCCUUUUUCUCCACAUCCUCUCCAGCAUCUGUUGUCUCCAGAUUUUUUAAUGAUUGCCAUUCUAACUGGCAUGAGAUGGUAUCUCAAUGUGGUUUUGAUUUGCAUCUCUCUGAUGACCAGUGAUGAUGAGCAUUUUUUCAUAUGAUUGUUGGCCUCAUAUAUGUCUUCUUUCAUAAAGUGUCUGUUCAUACCCUUUGCCCAAUUUUGAAUGGGCUUGUUUGUUUCUUUCCUCCUUUCUUUUUUCUUUUUUCUUUCUUUUUUUUUCUUUUUUUUUUUUUUUGACUGCAUCUUACUCUGUCACCCAGACUAGAAUGCAGUGGCUCAGUCACAGCUGACUAGCCUUGACCUCCCUGGGCUCAGGUGAUCUCCUCCC
This 718-nucleotide long non-coding RNA is filed under the name Callithrix jacchus (white-tufted-ear marmoset). RNAcentral's name for it is "lncRNA (ENSCJAG00000080843.1)". The record is from RNAcentral. Lineage: Eukaryota; Metazoa; Chordata; Mammalia; Primates; Cebidae.